AUAAAUACUCCACCGGGAGUUAAAUCGUAUGAACGAUUAUUUACAUUUCAGUAGGUCUGAGAAGAAAUGUAGAUGGUCGUUCUUUUUUU
Molecule: non-coding RNA, 89 nt
Filed under: unclassified sequences
Source: RNAcentral